RNAcentral lists this long non-coding RNA (5332 nucleotides) under Daphnia magna. RNAcentral describes it as "uncharacterized LOC116934488, transcript variant X10". The record is from RNAcentral. Lineage: Eukaryota; Metazoa; Arthropoda; Branchiopoda; Diplostraca; Daphniidae.
AGGUGUCGCUAAAACAUGCCAAUAUUCUCUUUCCUGUUCUAGUGUCCAUCUUUGUGUUUUAAGCUUUGUUCUCGCUUUCUCGCUUACAUUCUCGGUUGAUAAUGUUAAGUAUGGUAUUUGUGGUUAACCAAAUGGAUUGGUCCAGAAAUCAUUUAUCCAUCAAAUGAGGCUUUUUUACUCUCUUUGAUUACGUUGUACGUAAUGAAAAAAAUUUUGACAGCUUAAGAAGUUAGUGCCUCAAUUUAAACCGAUUUUCAUGGCUAAUCGACUUCUAGUUCUGGUUGGAUCCCCAAUAGGAUGUCCAUGGGCAUGAUGGUAAUUCACUUGGUGUGGAUGAUUUACAAGUUGGUAUUUUUCACAUUGAAAAAUGGUGUCAUUUAUUGUUUUUCGGAAAAAAACCCUGUUACAAACAAACGUUGCAUGACACCUGAAAGAAAUUAUGAUUACCAAAUAACAAAUAGCAGCUGGUUUUCAGAAAUGUAUGUUUCAAGAUGAACUUUGAAGUUAGAUGUUCCAUUAUUUGGCUGGAUUCCUACUUAUGCAUCUUUCAUAAUCAAAUCAAUCUUAUUUGCAAGACAAAAUGAAAAACCACCAGUACAUGAACCAGUAUGGAGUUAACUGUUGUACUAACUUGUUCCUUGACAGCAACAAACAGCUUGAUAGAUAUUGCCGACCACUUAUCUGUUGGUGGAAAUCUAUUUGACAGUUAAAAUUGGCCAAAUACCUUGGGACUGAGAAAAUCCCUACGAUCAAAAUAGAGCAAGUGACUAGGGCUCGGCCCCGUGUCCAAUGGGUAGGUAUUCUCGAAAAAAAAAUGAGAUCCGUUGGGUAACGGUUCUUUAAAGUUCGUGCCCACUACCUACCCGGGUUUUAAGUGGGUAAUCGAAAAGUAAAACCGGGUCUGCUACCCGGUUCUCAUCGGGUUUUUACCCCGAUUGCCCCUUGUAUUUUUCCUUUAUUUUUUUUUCGUUGUCCAGUGAGUGUAAUUUUGUAACAUCUUUUGGAGAUGGGUGCAUCCCUAUGUCAGUAAUAUAUCGAACAAAUUUUAAAUCCAGAACUUUGAAAAAAAAAACUAAUUUAUUUAUUUACAAGUAGAAUAGAUAUUGGCCAGUAAAAAUUUUUUAGAAUUUUGUUGGGUGGAGAUUGUACAAAGACAUUUGUACAGUAAUUACGUCGAAUUUUGUUGAGUAGAAAUCCUACACAAAUGUUGUAGAUAAUGUAUAUUUGUAGAAAAUUUGUAGAAUUUCCUUUUGCAGAAUUCGGUAGAAAUUUGUUGUUUGUGGAGCGUCGUAGAUCAUUUCGUCGUUCUUUUCAGAGCUAAACACUUCUAACGAUAAAAAAGACAUCUUAUUGAACCGUUGGCUGCCUUUAUCCUGGAAAGACAAGGCUAGUUAUGCCCCUACACAAUUCCUAGAGGAAGGAAUGGACGUCAUUCGACCACCCGAUAAUGAGGAUUCGAGAUGAAAAUGACCGCAUUUAUGAGGUGUUGCCAUACUUAGAUUUAGAAAAAAGUCAUGUACUAAAAUUGAUUGGGAAAACUUUGGGUGAAAUAGCUCUGAAGAGAACUGUUGGUGAAAACUGGAGGAACUUCGAUGAAAACACGGGUAAGUCACGAGGCAAAAAACAAGAGGUAACUGCGAGAAUUCUGAGGAAUCUGCGAUUAACAUUACAAUAAACUAAAUUUGAUUAUGUAUUUUUCGGUAAUGGUGUCAUUGCCAGCAACCGUCAUUGAUGGUUUCUUUUGUGAUUUUCGGGAGGUAAUUGUUAAGCUGCGGUAUUUCUGUCAAUGAAUUUGGUAAGUUUUAAGUUUUUCCCAUAUAAUUCAAAAAUAAAAAGUUAUUUUUCUUUUAGAAAUUCUAUAUGUAACUAUUCUUGAACUCUGGCCAAAAUAUUCAAAAUUGGUGCUCACGGUAAAAUAAAAAAACAUUGUGCGGAACAAAUCGCAAUGGAGCAAGCCACAUUGGCAGUUAGGCACUUGUUAUGUCAGUUUGUGUAUGGUGUUUGAUUCUGAAACAAGUAAUUCCAUCGAUUGAUUGAAUGGAUAUCCUGAAUUCCCAUCAACAUUAAAUGAUCGGGAGGAUCGUCGCGGUAAGGACAUUAUCAUUUGUAAUGUUAGCAGUGCUGUGGGCAAAAAAGUUUCACUUUUUGGAUACAGAUAGGUUUUCAUUUAAUCUAAUCCAUCCUUUAACUACAGCAUUUCUUUUGCAGUAGCUUCUAUUGAAGCAUUAUAUUUAAUUUUCAGCAUUAAUGAAGAUUUUUCUUCCACUUGUACAAGUAAAUGGCUCUUUUUUAAAUCGGCUUUUGGUGCCCAGAGAAGUAUAGCUUUGUGGAAGGAGACCUGCAGUUGAUUGCUGGCAAAACUGACUAAAUCUAAAUUGAAAAACACUAAAAACAAUUUCCCCGUUACAGGUGUCAUGGGAGCAGUUUCGCUCAGUUAGUGAAGGUUACGCCCGUGGAAUGACAUUCCAACCUAACUCCGUGUAAUAGAUUAAUAAUAAAUCUUUUGUUAAUUAGCUAUAAUUUUGAUGACCAGAGGCAUCUUUGUUGUAGUUAUCUACACAAUAACAAGCAAUAUAUACACUAUAGUGGGGUUGUUUUGGGGUAGAUUAUUUCUUUUCCGUCGUUGGCCAUCGUUUGAUGACUUCCUUUCCUACCUUUUCCUGUUUUUCCUGCAAAUAUUUGACAGUUAGGAUCCUUUUGCCUGUCAUACAUACAUGUCUUCCAGAACCACGAGACCAUAUUCCAUACUCCUUGAACUUCUACCACCAAAUUAUCUAUUUGGUUACUGGAUUGGUCGCUUUCUCGUGGAUAAUUUUCCGUAAGCUUGGUUACAUUUACAUAUGUAUGUUGCUAUUUUUCAGGAAUCUCAAAUGUCUGAAUUUUAUGUAUUUCUUAAUCUCAAGAUUUUGUAAAAUUGUAUUGUCAGGCAGAAUUCUACCUGCAGAUAGCUGGUCUAAAUUCCAUGGAUUGCAACUUAAAAAUAUAAGAAAGACAUUUAUUCACUUCGCUUUUGUUAUUAAUCAAAAUACCUUUAGAGCUACUGCAUUUCUAUCCAGGACCAAAUUGAUUCAACCAAACAAACAAGUUCCAUACUGGUUCAUGUACCAACACAACAACCAUGCCUUCUAUUAAAUGUUCUUUUAAUUCCAACUCUUUUUCUCUGAAAAGUAUAAAAAUUCAAAAAUUACUGAUAAAUUAAAAAGUAUGAAAUAUCUUAGAAUACUUGUAUUCAAAAAGACAAAUUGAAGCCACUUCUACUUUGUAUUUCAACCACUUUACUUUAGUUUAUCUUUUUUGCAAAAUUUUAUUCAUGAGUGUUUUCUUAGUCUCAAGGUAUUUGUCCAAUUUCAAAUGUCAAAAAGAUUUCCACCAACAGACAACUGGUCAGCAAUCCCUGGUCAACAACCAAAAGCUAUUGGUUCCUGUCAACCUUUCCUGUCAAUGAACAAGUUGGUUUAACAGGGCACUUUUUGGCUGACAUUAGCGCCAUCCUACGACCAUGCUACGACUGGGAGAAACGUUUUUCUAUAUUCCCCACGCCUUAUAAAUCCGAAGGGUAAUUUUGGGCGCCAUUUUUCAAUUCGUACUUCUAUCAGUGAUGACGCUAAAAUCAAACAAUCGACGACAAUCUCAUCGUGUGGUAGAAAAAUAAAGCUUGUUUUAGCCGCCUGUCGGGCAUUCAAAGAGAGCUUACAUCAGAACUGCCACCGCGAUUAUAUUUUCUUUUGAAUUUGGAUUCUCGUCGAUGGUGUUGGAUGGAUGGAUAACUUGGAUGGUAUUUCAAUAUAGCUUAUGCUGCUAGCUUGUUCUUCAUUCCAUGAGGCUGCAUCCAACGGUGAAUAAUUUGGAUGAACAAUACCUCAAGGUCGAGCAGCCUGUUGCCAUGCUGUAUUGAAUUUGCUGUGUUCUACAUGUUGAGUGUGCCAUUAAGCAUUCACUACUAAUUUCUAAUACAUGGUGAAUUAGAGUUGCUACAAUGAAGGGUAAAAGCUUGUGAUUUAAACCAUAAAAGGUUGGCAGAAGGUUUCCUGUAGUAAAGCUUCUCUUUUUUGCUCUGUGGUGAAUUGGUUAGUGCAUGGCUUGGUAGUAAUUAAAGGAGAAGUAGACCACAGCUUCAUUCUGUGGGGAUUUGCAUGUAUAUCUUCUGUAGGUGUAGGUGGUAAAAGCUCUUUAACAUUCAUCUCUUCUAUUUGGCAUCCUUUCUUGGGAUUGCGUUGGCAUCACUGAUUUUCGGCAGCUUAGCAGGUAGGAUGUCGCAUACACUUGGGCGAAAUCAGAACUUCCAGCAACUGCUGAUUGCGUCUUUUAUGAAGUCUCGAGUCCUUUCUCACUUGGCUUUAUUGAAGUGGGGGUUUGGGCUGCUGAACAAUUUCAAUUGUGGUGUUUUCAUUUACAAGUUGUCGUUUGAUUGCGCUUUUCCGUUACCUAUCAUUUUAAAAAUGUGAUGCCAGCCUUAAUAUUUUCUGAUUUGAAUUUGAGAUCAAAUAAUUUGCUUUUUCUUCGUUUACUUUUUAAACAAUGAAGUUUGCGAGCUUAUGUUAUUUCACGUUUUUCUUUUCAGAUUUUGGCUGUUCAUCAUAGACCAUCGUAUUACGAGUCUGCUGCUGUGGGUCAACUCAUUUCAGCUACAAUAUGUGAUAUCUUGCAUUUUUACAUGAUUAUAUUUCCUGUGUUUCUGACCCUGUUUGGAUUACAGGAACCAGUAUUUGAUCUUCUAUUUACAUUUUAGGUGGUCCUGUGUCAGCAAAUGGUUGUUCAGUUGGGAGCAUAUUGGCGUGGCGUUUGCGUGUGCAAUUCAUUUUCCUGUGAAAUUGUGGUAGUUGUGACAAUGUAUUGUGUGUUUUCCGUUAUGAUGAAAAUGAGUUUCCGUUUGAUCGUGAAGUAUUCUUUUUAAACAACUCUAACUUGAUCUAUUAGAAUCUGACUGACUUUGUUAACAAAUUAACCGUUUUGUUUUCAGGUUGUUCGGCUGACUAAUUUUACAUUUCAUUGUUAGAUGGGAUCCUUUGUCAACAACAUUCAUCUACGAAUGAUAAUCGGACGUUUAGCAGACGAAAUUUUGAAGACGUACUUGCGUAAUCGGCAUGUCAGUUUUUGUUCAAUGGAUGUUUUUAAUGCUGAUUGCUACAUUAACGCGAUGUGAUGAUUUGUUAUUUUAAAGUGAGUGGUGAUAGCUUUGAAGUGACUGUCUUAUUUAACAUAUUGAAAAUAUUGAUUUGCGUUACACCCGUGUUAGGGUGUGACGAUAGACUUAUUAGCAUUUAUUAUAAUGUCGGUAUAUGUGUGAUGUAUAUAAUGUAUGAUGAACUCUCAAUAAAAGCGAUUUUAAUAA